UUAAGCGACUAAGCGUACACGGUGGAUGCCCUGGCAGUCAGAGGCGAUGAAGGACGUGCUAAUCUGCGAUAAGCGUCGGUAAGGUGAUAUGAACCGUUAUAACCGGCGAUUUCCGAAUGGGGAAACCCAGUGUGAUUCGUCACACUAUCAUUAACUGAAUCCAUAGGUUAAUGAGGCGAACCGGGGGAACUGAAACAUCUAAGUACCCCGAGGAAAAGAAAUCAACCGAGAUUCCCCCAGUAGCGGCGAGCGAACGGGGAGCAGCCCAGAGCCUGAAUCAGUGUGUGUGUUAGUGGAAGCGUCUGGAAAGGCGCGCGAUACAGGGUGACAGCCCCGUACACAAAAAUGCACAUACUGUGAGCUCGAUGAGUAGGGCGGGACACGUGGUAUCCUGUCUGAAUAUGGGGGGACCAUCCUCCAAGGCUAAAUACUCCUGACUGACCGAUAGUGAACCAGUACCGUGAGGGAAAGGCGAAAAGAACCCCGGCGAGGGGAGUGAAAAAGAACCUGAAACCGUGUACGUACAAGCAGUGGGAGCACAGAGCAAUCUGUGUGACUGCGUACCUUUUGUAUAAUGGGUCAGCGACUUAUAUUCUGUAGCAAGGUUAACCGAAUAGGGGAGCCGAAGGGAAACCGAGUCUUAACUGGGCGUUAAGUUGCAGGGUAUAGACCCGAAACCCGGUGAUCUAGCCAUGGGCAGGUUGAAGGUUGGGUAACACUAACUGGAGGACCGAACCGACUAAUGUUGAAAAAUUAGCGGAUGACUUGUGGCUGGGGGUGAAAGGCCAAUCAAACCGGGAGAUAGCUGGUUCUCCCCGAAAGCUAUUUAGGUAGCGCCUCGUGAAUUCAUCUCCGGGGGUAGAGCACUGUUUCGGCAAGGGGGUCAUCCCGACUUACCAACCCGAUGCAAACUGCGAAUACCGGAGAAUGUUAUCACGGGAGACACACGGCGGGUGCUAACGUCCGUCGUGAAGAGGGAAACAACCCAGACCGCCAGCUAAGGUCCCAAAGUCAUGGUUAAGUGGGAAACGAUGUGGGAAGGCCCAGACAGCCAGGAUGUUGGCUUAGAAGCAGCCAUCAUUUAAAGAAAGCGUAAUAGCUCACUGGUCGAGUCGGCCUGCGCGGAAGAUGUAACGGGGCUAAACCAUGCACCGAAGCUGCGGCAGCGACGCUUAUGCGUUGUUGGGUAGGGGAGCGUUCUGUAAGCCUGCGAAGGUGUGCUGUGAGGCAUGCUGGAGGUAUCAGAAGUGCGAAUGCUGACAUAAGUAACGAUAAAGCGGGUGAAAAGCCCGCUCGCCGGAAGACCAAGGGUUCCUGUCCAACGUUAAUCGGGGCAGGGUGAGUCGACCCCUAAGGCGAGGCCGAAAGGCGUAGUCGAUGGGAAACAGGUUAAUAUUCCUGUACUUGGUGUUACUGCGAAGGGGGGACGGAGAAGGCUAUGUUGGCCGGGCGACGGUUGUCCCGGUUUAAGCGUGUAGGCUGGUUUUCCAGGCAAAUCCGGAAAAUCAAGGCUGAGGCGUGAUGACGAGGCACUACGGUGCUGAAGCAACAAAUGCCCUGCUUCCAGGAAAAGCCUCUAAGCAUCAGGUAACAUCAAAUCGUACCCCAAACCGACACAGGUGGUCAGGUAGAGAAUACCAAGGCGCUUGAGAGAACUCGGGUGAAGGAACUAGGCAAAAUGGUGCCGUAACUUCGGGAGAAGGCACGCUGAUAUGUAGGUGAAGCGACUUGCUCGUGGAGCUGAAAUCAGUCGAAGAUACCAGCUGGCUGCAACUGUUUAUUAAAAACACAGCACUGUGCAAACACGAAAGUGGACGUAUACGGUGUGACGCCUGCCCGGUGCCGGAAGGUUAAUUGAUGGGGUUAGCGCAAGCGAAGCUCUUGAUCGAAGCCCCGGUAAACGGCGGCCGUAACUAUAACGGUCCUAAGGUAGCGAAAUUCCUUGUCGGGUAAGUUCCGACCUGCACGAAUGGCGUAAUGAUGGCCAGGCUGUCUCCACCCGAGACUCAGUGAAAUUGAACUCGCUGUGAAGAUGCAGUGUACCCGCGGCAAGACGGAAAGACCCCGUGAACCUUUACUAUAGCUUGACACUGAACAUUGAGCCUUGAUGUGUAGGAUAGGUGGGAGGCUUUGAAGUGUGGACGCCAGUCUGCAUGGAGCCGACCUUGAAAUACCACCCUUUAAUGUUUGAUGUUCUAACGUUGACCCGUGAUCCGGGUUGCGGACAGUGUCUGGUGGGUAGUUUGACUGGGGCGGUCUCCUCCUAAAGAGUAACGGAGGAGCACGAAGGUUGGCUAAUCCUGGUCGGACAUCAGGAGGUUAGUGCAAUGGCAUAAGCCAGCUUGACUGCGAGCGUGACGGCGCGAGCAGGUGCGAAAGCAGGUCAUAGUGAUCCGGUGGUUCUGAAUGGAAGGGCCAUCGCUCAACGGAUAAAAGGUACUCCGGGGAUAACAGGCUGAUACCGCCCAAGAGUUCAUAUCGACGGCGGUGUUUGGCACCUCGAUGUCGGCUCAUCACAUCCUGGGGCUGAAGUAGGUCCCAAGGGUAUGGCUGUUCGCCAUUUAAAGUGGUACGCGAGCUGGGUUUAGAACGUCGUGAGACAGUUCGGUCCCUAUCUGCCGUGGGCGCUGGAGAAUUGAGGGGGGCUGCUCCUAGUACGAGAGGACCGGAGUGGACGCAUCACUGGUGUUCGGGUUGUCAUGCCAAUGGCACUGCCCGGUAGCUAAAUGCGGAAGAGAUAAGUGCUGAAAGCAUCUAAGCACGAAACUUGCCCCGAGAUGAGUUCUCCCUGACUCCUUGAGAGUCCUGAAGGAACGUUGAAGACGACGACGUUGAUAGGCCGGGUGUGUAAGCGCAGCGAUGCGUUGAGCUAACCGGUACUAAUGAACCGUGAGGCUUAACCUU
Molecule: ribosomal RNA, 2904 nt
Filed under: Escherichia coli
Lineage: Bacteria; Pseudomonadati; Pseudomonadota; Gammaproteobacteria; Enterobacterales; Enterobacteriaceae
Description: bacterial LSU rRNA
Rfam family: Bacterial large subunit ribosomal RNA
Source: RNAcentral